RNAcentral lists this long non-coding RNA (364 nucleotides) under Marmota monax (woodchuck). The record is from RNAcentral. Lineage: Eukaryota; Metazoa; Chordata; Mammalia; Rodentia; Sciuridae.
ACAUAAAAAUAAAAUAAAGAUAUAAAGAUAUAUAUAUGAACUACAGUAGCUCAGUCAAGACCUCAUCCAAAACUCUAAUCUCCAUUCUGUUAUAUGUUAGGUUCUCCUGGCUUUUGUGAAGAUCUUGGAGAAGGGACUGUAUAGUUUGUUGGAUCCUACCUUCUAUUGUCUAUAAUUUACUCAGUUUGUGAUAUUUUAUUAUAGCAACAUAAAAUGGACUAAGACACACACUCAUGAUUCUCUGAUCUUCCCCCAUGACUGAAAAUGUCAUCAUGGGUCCCCUUUGCCUUUUGAACAAAGACAAACGUCUUAGCCUGGCAUAUAAGGCCCCCAAGAUUAGGCCCUUGCCUACCUGCCUAGUCAU